ACAGCGCAAGGCACAGAGUAAAGCUUAACAAAUAUUUGUUAAAUAAAUCAAUGUCCAGUACCAAUUCAGCUGCCUUUUCCCCAUGGAAAAUAGGCUGUAGGAUCUCUGCUCUCACCUUCCCACUAUCACUUCCUGGUCUUCUCCAUUACAAGUGAACUGUAGUCUUGAAACAUCCCAUCACAAGUAUCUCUACACUCCAUCUAUCCAUUUAUUUAUUCAGAUGUUUACUCUAGGCCAGGCACUGCAUGAGGUACUAAUUAUAAAGACAAACAAGACAAUAUCCUUGACCUUGAAAGUUUGAAGUCUAGUGCAUGAGACAAAUACAUAGAGGUACACACUCCAUGGCAAUAAGGUGUUAUAAGAGACAAAAAAAAAAAAGAGCUAUGGGAGUCCAAAUGAGAAAAUAACUCACUUUGUGAGAGGUAUCAGAGAAGGUUUAACAGGCAAGGAUGUUGGGAUUUGUUUUUACAGAAUUAAUAGUUUACAGAUGAAAGGAUGGAGAAGGUAGCAAAAUCAAAUCUAAAAAAAGGAAGUAGCAUGUAACAAGGUACAAAGUCAUGAAUGAAAGGGCACAGACUGCACAUUAGAAAACGGAGCAUUAAGCAAAGGCAGACCAUGGAAUGAGUGACUGGCAGAUGAGGCUAAAAAACAAGAUGGGGCCAGAUUUUAAAGAGCCUUAGGUUGAAGUACUAAGAAUUAUGAAUCUGAUCCUACAGGACUGUGUUUGCCAACCUUACUCCCAUCAAGGAAUACAAAUAUAAUUUUGUACAGUCCCCCAAGGUGGUUGCUAGCAGCUAAAAGCCAAGAGGCCAGAUAGCUGAGGGGAUCAAUAACUUAAGCAUAUCUGUUGGGACAUCCAGCUACAGGUCAUAAAGAAUCAAUAUAAGAUUUUAAGCAGAUUUUUAAAAAGAAAUCUCACAUGCAAGGCUUGUCCAGGGAAGAAAAGUUCGCAUGAUCAAUCUGUUUUUAAGGAAAUACAUGACAGCAGUUGGAGAAAGGGGGUACGGAGAUGGAACCAGUGCUGAGUGACUAUCACAAGACCAAAAAAGGAACUACUAUAUAAGCUCAAGAGGGCUAAUAGGGACCUGAGUAAAAGAAAAACAAGAAUACGCAUUUGAGGAGAAAGUUCUGAAGUAAGCUCAACAGGGUGUGUGGAUAUCAGGGGGAACUCCCUUGAUCUACAGUUUAGAAAACUGGGAGCUUGGUGGAAGAUAACAUUAUUAACCAUUAUCAGGUAUACAAGGGGAGGAAGCAGUGUUUUUUGUUUGUUUGUUUUUGGUGGGAGUGAAAUGGGAAUCAAAUAUACGACAAUGAUUUUGGCUUGAAAAAUGUUAAGUAUAAAGUACCUGUAGUAGCAGAACACUGUUGAGUAUAGAGUUAGGAAACAAUAUUAGAGUUCAGGAACUAUUUCAACCUUGAAGCUAUAGUUGUGAGAGCUGUGAAUACAGAACUAUGAGCAUUGAAAUAGAGAGGAUUAUACAGUGAAAACACAGAACACUGAGAAAAGGAUAUGAGAGAACCUUAGGGGGAAAUAGAAUUUAAAGGGCAGGCCACAGAAGCCAACAAAGGAGAAUGAAAACCAGAUAAAAGGAGAACCAAGAGAAAGGUUCACACACUUUACACAAAGAUUCCCAAACUUUGCUGUCCAUGUCAAUCACUCAGGGAUUUACAAAAACAAAACAACAACAACAACAAAAAACUGUUGCCUGGCUACUAUCACCCAGACAUUGUGAUUUAAUUGAAGGAUGACAUAUGUACUGGAUAUCCAGAUUUUAAAAAGCUCCAGCUGAUUUUAAUAUGCAACAAAGUUUGCGAACCCCUGAUUUAAAAAAAAAGAAUGAGACUAAAUGUUGACAUGAGAAAAGUGACAUACUUGUACUUGUAAUUUAUUUCCAGAUACUUACCGUAUUUUUUCAAUGAUAUCUUCCAAAAGAUACUCCACAACCGGAAAAGUAAAACCAGUGCUAACAGUCAGGAUAUCUAGAUCCACCAGCUUAUAAGAGAUAACUAGCACCAAAUUAUAAAUAGAGGCAAAGACUGACAAGAACAGACAACUGAUGACACAACUUCAAUGAUAUUUCUGUUUUGUCUUCCACACAAGGCAAAGAGAUAAGCUAGCUUUUCUUGUCCUACAGUUAUUAAAGAAGCUCUUCUCUCAAUCACCAUAUUUCAUCCUGAAAUUUUCCUUGAACUCUCCUCUAAUCACCAAGCAUAUUUUUUACUCAAAAGGCAUCAAAGAGCUACACAAUUUGUUCCCAGGCAACCUCAGCCCAUCUGUUAUCAGGAAAUAACCCACCCUCAACAGUAACAAUGGAUCCCCCUCUUUCCUUCAGGAGGUGUUAUAUUAUGCCUUUCUCAAAAACUGCAGUAUAUAUUUUCAUAAUGAAGUAUGGCCCUCAGAAUUCCUCAGUAUUUUCUGUUUUUAAAAAAAACACAAAACAAAAAUACCAAAAACAUGUGACCAACUGAUCACUUCUUAGAAUACCCUCAAAGCAUAAACUUCUGCACUUCAACUGGAAGGGACCUUAAAAUAUCAUCUAGUCUAGCAAGGAAAGAAAGCACUUGAAUAAGUCAGAAGAAUUUCAGUUCAUGCCACAGCUCUAAAAUGUUGGUGAAUAUAAACAUAUCAUAUAACUUUGGGGGAUUUAAUUUUAUCAUCUGUUAAAAAAAGGAAUUGGAUUAAAUGGUCUGGAAGAAUCCUUACAAUUCUAAUCUCCUUGAUUCUUAUGACAUCUCCCUAGACUAGCCUAGAAAAGUUUAACUCAAGAGGGGUAUUUUUUUCAUUUGCACCAGUAUUUCCCAAACCUUUCUUCUCAUCAUUUAAGCUGCUGAAGAUGAGAUAGACUGCAGGUUAUGUGUAACUUUCACUCCUACUGCUUUUCUAUAUUCA
Molecule: long non-coding RNA, 2890 nt
Organism: Choloepus didactylus (southern two-toed sloth)
Lineage: Eukaryota; Metazoa; Chordata; Mammalia; Pilosa; Megalonychidae
Exons: 3
Source: RefSeq, a predicted model, not a curated record